Molecule: long non-coding RNA, 1417 nt
Filed under: Macaca mulatta (Rhesus monkey)
Lineage: Eukaryota; Metazoa; Chordata; Mammalia; Primates; Cercopithecidae
Description: lncRNA (ENSMMUG00000044193.2)
Source: RNAcentral
UGGGAGAGCCAUCGUUUGACUCCAGGCCUGAAUGAAGCAACCGAGACCACAUCCUGAAGAAAUUUACCUGUACACAGAAUAAAGGAGGAGAAAGGGGCAGGGAAGGAGAGUAAGUAGUUCAGUGUGAGUUCUGCUUUGCCCCAUGUCACCUCCUUGACUAAUUCUGAUUUCCUUGCUCACUUAAAACUCUCCUUCCCUGAGUGAGUAUAUUAGCUUCUAUUACUUCAUAACAAAUAACCACAAACUUAACUCAAAACAACAUCAUCUAUUUGCUCUCAGUUGCGUAGGUUCUACUUCUAUUCAGAGUAUGACAAGUUAGAAAUCAAGGUGUUUCACCUGGAGGUAGGUAGUAGGGGAAGUUCCUCUUCUAUAUUCAUUUUUCUUGUUGGAAGAAUUCAGUUCCUUUCACUGGUGGGACUGAUGGCUCCAUUUCCUUGCUGGCUGUCAGCUGCUCCUGGGUCCUAGAGUUUCUUCUCCAAUCCUUGCUAUGUGGCUUCCAUAGACAGUUCACCACAUGGAUGUUUGCUUUAUUCCAGGCCAGCCAAAGCUUGUCUCUUUCCUCUUCUUCCACCAGAUGGAGAAAAUCCUGUUUUUAAAGGCUCGCGUGAUCCAGUAAGCCUUACCUGGAUAAUCGCCCUUUCUUACAUUUAGCUGUACCAUGUAGCAUAACUUAAUGACAAGCCCAGAAAUUAGAGCAGAAAUCUUGGAGGCCAUCACAGACUUUAGCCUGCCAUGCUAAUAUAUUUUAGGUAUUCAACAAAUAGUUGUUGGACUAGCAGAUGUAUUUUGAAGCAUCUUAUCUCGUUUGUCUUCAGAAUAUGACUUAGGACUUCAUCUGUUCCCUCUGCCUUCAAUGCACAGAUUUUAGCUAAAGAAAAAGGACUCUUCUACUAAUAUAAACAAUAUACAUGCUUUUAUUAACCAAAAGGAAAAGGAAAUAGGCUUAUGUGAUUUUGAGCCUCCACAGAACUGUCAAAGAUGGAUCUUUCUAAGCAAUUCACGGAAGAUGUGAAAAUUAAUAUGGCAUGUAGGUGCUGUUGGUUCCAAUUAAAAUCAAUAUCUGUCCUGAUUUGUGUCUCUUGUCUCUAUGACAGCGAGGGGGCUGGCUAAGGGGAUACAUCUGCUCCUCUCUCCCAAAGGGGCUCAAAACAAGUGAAUGACCUGCAGUGUUUAUUAUUAAGUUUUCAAAGGGAAAGUUGUUUUGGUUUAAUUGAAGCAAUAAUACGAGAGAGGUUAUUUCUGGUCAGUUCCCUGCUGUUUUCACUCUGGAGAAUAUAUUCCAGGUGUUCAUGUGCCACACUGCAGUGCAGUGCUGCUGUCUCUUGAGUGUAGGCAUGCUAGUGCCAGUGGAGCGAUAAACUAGCCUUAGCAGUUUAAGCCAGUCUUGGCCUUUGAGAGACACUUUUUUAGUUAACUU